GAUGAACGCUGGCGGCGUGCUUAACACAUGCAAGUCGAACGGAAAGGCCCAAGCUUGCUUGGGUACUCGAGUGGCGAACGGGUGAGUAACACGUGGGUGAUCUGCCCUGCACUUCGGGAUAAGCCUGGGAAACUGGGUCUAAUACCGGAUAGGACCACAUUUUGGAUGGUGUGGAGGAAAGUUUUUCGGUGUGGGAUGAGCUCGCGGCCUAUCAGCUUGUUGGUGGGGUAAUGGCCUACCAAGGCGUCGACGGGUAGCCGGCCUGAGAGGGUGUACGGCCACAUUGGGACUGAGAUACGGCCCAGACUCCUACGGGAGGCAGCAGUGGGGAAUAUUGCACAAUGGGCGCAAGCCUGAUGCAGCGACGCCGCGUGGGGGAUGACGGCCUUCGGGUUGUAAACUCCUUUCGCUAGGGACGAAGCGUUAUGUGACGGUACCUGGAGAAGAAGCACCGGCUAACUACGUG
Molecule: ribosomal RNA, 466 nt
Filed under: uncultured bacterium
Lineage: Bacteria
Description: partial 16S ribosomal RNA
Rfam family: Bacterial small subunit ribosomal RNA
Source: RNAcentral